GCGGUCGCGGCCCCCGGGGGCUUGCUCCCGGGUGGUAGGGGUAACACCCUCACGCGCCGCCUGCCUGUACCCUCUUUUUACGAGCACCUUUCGUUCUCCUUCGGCGGGGCAACCUGCCGCUGGAACCAAAACAAAACCUUUUUUGCAUCUAGCAUUACCUGUUCUGAUACAAAUAAUCGUUACAACUUUCAACAAUGGAUCUCUUGGCUCUGGCAUCGAUGAAGAACGCAGCGAAAUGCGAUAAGUAGUGUGAAUUGCAGAAUUCAGUGAAUCAUCGAAUCUUUGAACGCACAUUGCGCCCCUUGGUAUUCCAUGGGGCAUGCCUGUUCGAGCGUCAUCUACACCCUCAAGCUCUGCUUGGUGUUGGGCGUCUGUCCCGCCUCUGCGCGCGGACUCGCCCCAAAUUCAUUGGCAGCGGUCUUUGCCUCCUCUCGCGCAGCACAAUUGCGUCUGCGGGGGGGCGUGGCCCGCGUCCACGAAGCAACAUUACCGUCUUUGACCUCGGAUCAGGUAGGGAUACCCGCUGAACU
RNAcentral lists this ribosomal RNA (530 nucleotides) under Paraphaeosphaeria sporulosa. RNAcentral's name for it is "eukaryotic LSU rRNA". The stretch from base 184 to 337 matches the Rfam family "5.8S ribosomal RNA". Lineage: Eukaryota; Fungi; Ascomycota; Dothideomycetes; Pleosporales; Didymosphaeriaceae. The record is from RNAcentral.